This 253-nucleotide ribosomal RNA is filed under the name uncultured bacterium. Its description in RNAcentral is "partial 16S ribosomal RNA". It matches the Rfam family "Bacterial small subunit ribosomal RNA", at positions 524 to 776 of the family's 1533-position model. The record is from RNAcentral.
UACAGAGGGUGCAAGCGUUGUUCGGAAUUAUUGGGCGUAAAGCGCGUGUAGGCGGCUUUGCAAGUCGGGUGUGAAAGCCCUCAGCUUAACUGAGGAAGUGCGCCUGAAACUGCAGAGCUUGAGUACCGGAGAGGAUGGCGGAAUUCCCCAAGUAGAGGUGAAAUUCGUAGAUAUGGGGAGGAACACCGGUGGCGAAGGCGGCCAUCUGGACGGAUACUGACGCUGAGACGCGAAAGCGUGGGUAGCAAACAGG